CAGUCGCCGCGGGAAUACGAAGGGUGCAAGCGUUAAUCGGAAUUACUGGGCGUAAAGCGUGCGUAGGCGGUUUGUUAAGUCUGUUGUGAAAUCCCCGGGCUCAACCUGGGAAUGGCAAUGGAUACUGGCAAGCUAGGGUGUGUCAGAGGAUGGUGGAAUUCCCGGUGUAGCGGUGAAAUGCGUAGAGAUCGGGAGGAACAUCAGUGGCGAAGGCGGCCAUCUGGGACAACACUGACGCUGAGGCACGAAAGCGUGGGGAGCAAACAGGAUUAGAUACCCGCGUAGUCCCUGUCUCUUAUAC
This 301-nucleotide ribosomal RNA is filed under the name uncultured bacterium. RNAcentral's name for it is "partial 16S ribosomal RNA". It matches the Rfam family "Bacterial small subunit ribosomal RNA", at positions 509 to 807 of the family's 1533-position model. The record is from RNAcentral.